Molecule: transfer RNA, 78 nt
Filed under: Streptomyces spinoverrucosus
Lineage: Bacteria; Bacillati; Actinomycetota; Actinomycetes; Kitasatosporales; Streptomycetaceae
Description: tRNA-Ser
Source: RNAcentral
GGUUCAGUCGCGCGAAACCGACUGGUCUUGAAAACCGUCGUGGCAGCGAUGUCACCGUGGGUUCAAAUCCCACACCCA